Molecule: ribosomal RNA, 501 nt
Filed under: uncultured bacterium
Lineage: Bacteria
Description: bacterial SSU rRNA
Rfam family: Bacterial small subunit ribosomal RNA
Source: RNAcentral
GAUGAACGCUGGCGGCAUGCCUAAUACAUGCAAGUCGAACGAGAGGAAGGAAAGCUUGCUUUUCUGAAUCUAGUGGCGAACGGGUGAGUAACACGUAGGUAACCUGCCCAUGUGCCCGGGAUAACUUCUGGAAACGGAUGCUAAAACCGGAUAGGUAGCAGACAAGCAUUUGACUGCUAUUAAAGUGGCUAAGGCCAUGAACAUGGAUGGACCUGCGGUGCAUUAGCUAGUUGGUGAGGUAACGGCCCACCAAGGCGACGAUGCAUAGCCGGCCUGAGAGGGCGGACGGCCACAUUGGGACUGAGACACGGCCCAAACUCCUACGGGAGGCAGCAGUAGGGAAUUUUCGUCAAUGGGGGGAACCCUGAACGAGCAAUGCCGCGUGAGUGAGGAAGGUCUUCGGAUCGUAAAGCUCUGUUGUAAGAGAAAAACGACAUUCAUAGGGAAUGAUGAGUGAGUGAUGGUAUCUUACCAGAAAAGUCACGGCUAACUACGUGCCAG